AGUGAACGCUGGCGGUAGGCCUAACACAUGCAAGUCGAACGGCAGCACAGUAAGAGCUUGCUCUUACGGGUGGCGAGUGGCGGACGGGUGAGGAAUACAUCGGAAUCUACUUUUUCGUGGGGGAUAACGUAGGGAAACUUACGCUAAUACCGCAUACGACCUACGGGUGAAAGCAGGGGAUCUUCGGACCUUGCGCGAUUGAAUGAGCCGAUGUCGGAUUAGCUAGUUGGCGGGGUAAAGGCCCACCAAGGCGACGAUCCGUAGCUGGUCUGAGAGGAUGAUCAGCCACACUGAAACUGAGACACGGUCCAGACUCCUACGGGAGGCAGAAGGGGGGAAUUUUGGAAAAGGGGCGCAAGCCUGAUCCAGCCAUCCCGGGGGGGUGAAGAAGGCCUGCGGGUUGUAAAGCCCUUUUGUUGGGAAAAAAAAGCAGCAGGUUAAAACCCCGCUGUUCUGACGGUACCCAAAAAAAAAGCACCGGCUAACUUCGU
RNAcentral lists this ribosomal RNA (491 nucleotides) under uncultured bacterium. RNAcentral's name for it is "partial 16S ribosomal RNA". It matches the Rfam family "Bacterial small subunit ribosomal RNA", at positions 29 to 506 of the family's 1533-position model. The record is from RNAcentral.